RNAcentral lists this ribosomal RNA (378 nucleotides) under uncultured bacterium. RNAcentral describes it as "bacterial SSU rRNA". It matches the Rfam family "Bacterial small subunit ribosomal RNA", at positions 32 to 392 of the family's 1533-position model. The record is from RNAcentral.
AAUCAACGCUGGCGGCGUGCCUAAUACAUGCAAGUCGAACGCGAAAGUCCCGCAAGGGAUGAGUAGAGUGGCAAACGGGUGAGUAACGCGUGGGUGACCUGCCUUCGAGUGGGGGAUAACGUUUCGAAAGGAACGCUAAUACCGCAUGACAUCCUGCCUUUUAACAGGUGGAGAUCAAAGCUGGGGAUCGCAAGACCUAGCGCUUGAAGAGGGGCCCGCGUCCGAUUAGCUAGUGGUGGGGUAACGGCUCACCAAGGCAACGAUCGGUAGCCGGCCUGAGAGGGGCGGACGGCCACACUGGGACUGAGACACGGCCCAGACUCCUACGGGAGGCAGCAGUAGGGGAAUUGUUCGCAAUGGGCGCAAGCCUGACGACGC